This 467-nucleotide ribosomal RNA is filed under the name uncultured bacterium. Its description in RNAcentral is "partial 16S ribosomal RNA". It matches the Rfam family "Bacterial small subunit ribosomal RNA", at positions 28 to 507 of the family's 1533-position model. The record is from RNAcentral.
GACGAACGCUGGCGGCGUGCUUAACACAUGCAAGUCGAACGGAAAGGCCUCUUUCGGGGGGUACUCGAGUGGCGAACGGGUGAGUAACACGUGAGUAACCUGCCUUUGACUUUGGGAUUACUUCAGGAAACUGGGGCUAAUACCGGAUAGGAGCUCCUGCUGCAUGGUGUGGGUUGGAAAGUUUCGGGGGUUGGGGUUGGCCUCGCGGCUUAUCAGCUUGUUGGGGGGGUAGGGGCUUACCAAGGCUUUGGCGGGUAGCCGGCGUGGGAGGGUGACCGGCCACAGGCGGACUGAGAUAGAGACCCGACUCCGACGGGUGCGGGCAGUGGGGAAUAGUGCACAAUGGGUGGAAGCCAAAUGCUGCAACGGCGUGGGCGGGAGGACGGCCUUCGGGUUGGAAUCGGCAUUCGCUCAUGACGGAGCUUUGUGUGACGGUAGUGGGUAAAGAAGCACCGGCUAACUACGUG